This 2903-nucleotide ribosomal RNA is filed under the name Escherichia coli. Its description in RNAcentral is "23S ribosomal RNA". It matches the Rfam family "Bacterial large subunit ribosomal RNA". The record is from RNAcentral. Lineage: Bacteria; Pseudomonadati; Pseudomonadota; Gammaproteobacteria; Enterobacterales; Enterobacteriaceae. RNAcentral also lists the same sequence under 1 other name.
GGUUAAGCGACUAAGCGUACACGGUGGAUGCCCUGGCAGUCAGAGGCGAUGAAGGACGUGCUAAUCUGCGAUAAGCGUCGGUAAGGUGAUAUGAACCGUUAUAACCGGCGAUUUCCGAAUGGGGAAACCCAGUGUGUUUCGACACACUAUCAUUAACUGAAUCCAUAGGUUAAUGAGGCGAACCGGGGGAACUGAAACAUCUAAGUACCCCGAGGAAAAGAAAUCAACCGAGAUUCCCCCAGUAGCGGCGAGCGAACGGGGAGCAGCCCAGAGCCUGAAUCAGUGUGUGUGUUAGUGGAAGCGUCUGGAAAGGCGCGCGAUACAGGGUGACAGCCCCGUACACAAAAAUGCACAUGCUGUGAGCUCGAUGAGUAGGGCGGGACACGUGGUAUCCUGUCUGAAUAUGGGGGGACCAUCCUCCAAGGCUAAAUACUCCUGACUGACCGAUAGUGAACCAGUACCGUGAGGGAAAGGCGAAAAGAACCCCGGCGAGGGGAGUGAAAAAGAACCUGAAACCGUGUACGUACAAGCAGUGGGAGCACGCUUAGGCGUGUGACUGCGUACCUUUUGUAUAAUGGGUCAGCGACUUAUAUUCUGUAGCAAGGUUAACCGAAUAGGGGAGCCGAAGGGAAACCGAGUCUUAACUGGGCGUUAAGUUGCAGGGUAUAGACCCGAAACCCGGUGAUCUAGCCAUGGGCAGGUUGAAGGUUGGGUAACACUAACUGGAGGACCGAACCGACUAAUGUUGAAAAAUUAGCGGAUGACUUGUGGCUGGGGGUGAAAGGCCAAUCAAACCGGGAGAUAGCUGGUUCUCCCCGAAAGCUAUUUAGGUAGCGCCUCGUGAAUUCAUCUCCGGGGGUAGAGCACUGUUUCGGCAAGGGGGUCAUCCCGACUUACCAACCCGAUGCAAACUGCGAAUACCGGAGAAUGUUAUCACGGGAGACACACGGCGGGUGCUAACGUCCGUCGUGAAGAGGGAAACAACCCAGACCGCCAGCUAAGGUCCCAAAGUCAUGGUUAAGUGGGAAACGAUGUGGGAAGGCCCAGACAGCCAGGAUGUUGGCUUAGAAGCAGCCAUCAUUUAAAGAAAGCGUAAUAGCUCACUGGUCGAGUCGGCCUGCGCGGAAGAUGUAACGGGGCUAAACCAUGCACCGAAGCUGCGGCAGCGACACUAUGUGUUGUUGGGUAGGGGAGCGUUCUGUAAGCCUGUGAAGGUGUACUGUGAGGUAUGCUGGAGGUAUCAGAAGUGCGAAUGCUGACAUAAGUAACGAUAAAGCGGGUGAAAAGCCCGCUCGCCGGAAGACCAAGGGUUCCUGUCCAACGUUAAUCGGGGCAGGGUGAGUCGACCCCUAAGGCGAGGCCGAAAGGCGUAGUCGAUGGGAAACAGGUUAAUAUUCCUGUACUUGGUGUUACUGCGAAGGGGGGACGGAGAAGGCUAUGUUGGCCGGGCGACGGUUGUCCCGGUUUAAGCGUGUAGGCUGGUUUUCCAGGCAAAUCCGGAAAAUCAAGGCUGAGGCGUGAUGACGAGGCACUACGGUGCUGAAGCAACAAAUGCCCUGCUUCCAGGAAAAGCCUCUAAGCAUCAGGUAACAUCAAAUCGUACCCCAAACCGACACAGGUGGUCAGGUAGAGAAUACCAAGGCGCUUGAGAGAACUCGGGUGAAGGAACUAGGCAAAAUGGUGCCGUAACUUCGGGAGAAGGCACGCUGAUAUGUAGGUGAAGUCCCUCGCGGAUGGAGCUGAAAUCAGUCGAAGAUACCAGCUGGCUGCAACUGUUUAUUAAAAACACAGCACUGUGCAAACACGAAAGUGGACGUAUACGGUGUGACGCCUGCCCGGUGCCGGAAGGUUAAUUGAUGGGGUUAGCGCAAGCGAAGCUCUUGAUCGAAGCCCCGGUAAACGGCGGCCGUAACUAUAACGGUCCUAAGGUAGCGAAAUUCCUUGUCGGGUAAGUUCCGACCUGCACGAAUGGCGUAAUGAUGGCCAGGCUGUCUCCACCCGAGACUCAGUGAAAUUGAACUCGCUGUGAAGAUGCAGUGUACCCGCGGCAAGACGGAAAGACCCCGUGAACCUUUACUAUAGCUUGACACUGAACAUUGAGCCUUGAUGUGUAGGAUAGGUGGGAGGCUUAGAAGUGUGGACGCCAGUCUGCAUGGAGCCGACCUUGAAAUACCACCCUUUAAUGUUUGAUGUUCUAACGUUGACCCGUAAUCCGGGUUGCGGACAGUGUCUGGUGGGUAGUUUGACUGGGGCGGUCUCCUCCUAAAGAGUAACGGAGGAGCACGAAGGUUGGCUAAUCCUGGUCGGACAUCAGGAGGUUAGUGCAAUGGCAUAAGCCAGCUUGACUGCGAGCGUGACGGCGCGAGCAGGUGCGAAAGCAGGUCAUAGUGAUCCGGUGGUUCUGAAUGGAAGGGCCAUCGCUCAACGGAUAAAAGGUACUCCGGGGAUAACAGGCUGAUACCGCCCAAGAGUUCAUAUCGACGGCGGUGUUUGGCACCUCGAUGUCGGCUCAUCACAUCCUGGGGCUGAAGUAGGUCCCAAGGGUAUGGCUGUUCGCCAUUUAAAGUGGUACGCGAGCUGGGUUUAGAACGUCGUGAGACAGUUCGGUCCCUAUCUGCCGUGGGCGCUGGAGAACUGAGGGGGGCUGCUCCUAGUACGAGAGGACCGGAGUGGACGCAUCACUGGUGUUCGGGUUGUCAUGCCAAUGGCACUGCCCGGUAGCUAAAUGCGGAAGAGAUAAGUGCUGAAAGCAUCUAAGCACGAAACUUGCCCCGAGAUGAGUUCUCCCUGACUCCUUGAGAGUCCUGAAGGAACGUUGAAGACGACGACGUUGAUAGGCCGGGUGUGUAAGCGCAGCGAUGCGUUGAGCUAACCGGUACUAAUGAACCGUGAGGCUUAACCUU